CCUUUUGGACAUGGACAGUACGAGGGCAGGAUGUAGCUACGAGUGUCUCCUGGUUUCAAUGGUGGAUCGGUCAGGAUUUGCCUCCAGACGAUUUAGACUUAAUAUGGCUUACAAGAUUAGGAUUUUAGAGCCAGGCAUGGUGGCACACACCUUUAAUCCCAGCACUUGAGAGGCAGAGGCAGGCAAAUUUCUGAGUUUGAGGACAGCCCGGUGUACAGAAUGAGUUCCAGGAUAGCCAAGGGCUACACAGAGAAAUCCAAGGUUGUGUUGUGUUUUCCUUCACGUGGCGGCUCAUCCAGAUUCAAGAGAGAAAGCUUUUAGAUUGGGUGUUGAACUCCAGGCUGCUUGGUUAAUACCUCAGAAGUGUGUGAAAUCCCCAGCAAGUCUUCUGCAAGCAAGCCUCUGUUGAUGAUAACCUAAGGGUAGACAACGAUGAGAUGGGUGAAUCCCUGGACAGGGAAGCCAUGAGUGAAGCUCUCCAUGAGACUGUUCCCUUGUGUAUUACAGAAGCAGGUUCUUCCCACUGUGAGUUAAUGUGAACCUAGGCUUCCAGGAAAAACAGUUCCUCUUACAGUUAACUGUGGCAUAGGAAGGUCACCUUUUCAUCCUAGUGCUAACACCCAGCUGGAGUGGCACUAUUACUGGAAUAAAACCCUGAAAGGAAAAUCAGGCGAAUCAGACUGAAGAGUACGGCAGUCAAUAAGGGUCACCCAGAGGAGUUUGUUCUACUCAGGUUUGCAGACAGUUCUUGGCUGGGACUCCCUUCAUUAUUCUUGUGGAAACAUAGCCCAGAGCGAUGACUGGGAAGAUUACCAUCAUUCUCCUGUCUUCCUUAGACCCAUGAUUCCACAGCUCCAGGUAUUUCUUCCUCACCAACCUCUCCUUUCUGGACAUGUGCUACACCACAAGCAUCGUGCCUCAGAUGCUAACUGACCUGAGGGCCUCCCACAAAGACCAUCAGCUUCAUGGGAUGUGUAGUUCAGCUUUAUUUGUUCCACACAAUUGGGGGUACAGGGGGUAUCCUCCUAGUUCUUAUGUCCUCUGUACGCUUGCUAUGUGGACAUCUGCGGAUUUCUGUGCUACACCUUGUCGAAGGCCAGCUCUGGAGUUCUAGUUCUUUCUUGAUGGUAGCUGAGCAUCAGUGGAGGCAAGACUUGGUCUUGUGAUGGAUUGAAAUUGCUUUUUUUAAUUAAUAAUAGUGUUUACCUGUCUUGACUUUAAGUUACUGUGAAGCCAGAAUCUACAGGCCUCUGGUCAAAUGAACACAUCUCUUAACAGCAGAGGACUGAGUAAAGGAUUCAUUGCGAGGGCUCCUUUCUCUUUUGCCCAGAAGCCUCGCCUUUAGCUUCGCAGGUGCUAGGGAGCAAGAAACUUUUAUUGGGCCAGAAGAGAGUCAUGCUUGCAUAAGGAAAAAAUUUACACAUGUGAAUAUGCAUAAACACACAUAUUUUCAUAAUAACAUUCAUACCUAUUUGUUGAGCCCAACAGUUUAUCUAAUCAGCUUACAUACAUACACACAUACAUACAUACGUACACACAUACAUUACAUACUUACACACAUACAUACAUACUUAUCUAAGCAUAUGGAGCAGAGGUCCAAACAUCAGUGCAGAAAGAACUCACUCAUUCUGGAUGAAAAAUGAGUUCCAAUCUUUAUUGCAUAGAGAAAGGAAAAACUUCUACCUUUUAUUGCUAAAUUAAUUAAACCCAAGUCUAUAAGAAAAAAAAAACUUUGCCCUUUUUAGUAAGACUGAGGCCUGCCUUGUUAAGAAAAGACCUGUUCUGUCCCAUGGUAAGGAGAAGCCCACUGCUCUUUCUGCUUUUUUUGCAGCUUCUUUGUCCCUCCUUCCCUCUGUUCUUUGCAUAUUGCUCUCUUCUUCUGCUCCUGUCUUAACGUCCUCUUUACUUUUAAGGGAAAGUAAAAUGGGAGAAAUCUAUCAGAAUAUAUUCUCUCUUAGUUUCUAAAUUACUCACUUAAUUUUAAGUUACUCUACUCUGCUGUCUUUCUCCUUAUUCCUCCUAAUUUUGUUCUCUCCUUCUCCUUCUAACCUUGCGUCCUCCUCCUACUCUGAUGUUAUGUCAUGUGAUGUAAACAUUCAUAGUUUUCGUACCUUUUCUAGGGGGAUAGAUCACAUGGUUUUUCCAAGUAUCAUUUUUUUUCAAAAGUUCAAAUAAAAACUCAAAUCAUAAAUUGUAUAAGAAGUUUACAAUACAGAUGUUUUACAUGUAUAUCCCUUAAGAUUAACUAUCUGGCUAAAUAAUAAUUUUCUGUCACUGGCUUCAGGGGUUCAUGGGGAGUUAAAGAUCAUAUCUUUUUUGUAUCUCAUUUGGCACUGAAGUUUUGUGUAGAUAAACCCAGUCAAUAUUUUAUCUUCUGUUUUUGCACUCACAAUAAAUCAUUAGUUCCCUUG
RNAcentral lists this long non-coding RNA (2411 nucleotides) under Mus musculus (house mouse). RNAcentral's name for it is "novel transcript". Lineage: Eukaryota; Metazoa; Chordata; Mammalia; Rodentia; Muridae. The record is from RNAcentral.